CUACGGGAGGCAGCAGUGGGGAAUAUUGCACAAUAGGCGCAAGCCUGAUGCAGCCAUGCCGCGUGUAUGAAGAAGGCCUUCGGGUUGUAAAGUACUUUCAGCGGGGAGGAAGGGAGUAAAGUUAAUACCUUUGCUCAUUGACGUUACCCGCAGAAGAAGCACCGGCUAACUCCGUGCCAACGCCGCGGUAAUACGGAGGGUGCAAGCGUUAAUCGGAAUUACUGGGCGUAAAGCGGACGCAGGCGGUUUGUUAAGUCAGAUGUGAAAUCCCCGGGCUCAACCUGGGAACUGCAUCUGAUACUGGCAAGCUUGAGUCUCGUAGAGGGGGGUAGAAUUCCAGGUGUAGCGGUGAAAUGCGUAGAGAUCUGGAGGAAUACCGGUGGCGAAGGCGGCCCCCUGGACGAAGACUGACGCUCAGGUGCGAAAGCGUGGGGAGCAAACAGGAUUAGAUACCCUAGUAGUC
Molecule: ribosomal RNA, 463 nt
Filed under: uncultured bacterium
Lineage: Bacteria
Description: partial 16S ribosomal RNA
Rfam family: Bacterial small subunit ribosomal RNA
Source: RNAcentral